AUUGAACGCUGGCGGCAGGCUUAACACAUGCAAGUCGAGCGGGGUGAUGGUGCUUGCACUAUCACUUAGCGGCGGACGGGUGAGUAAUGCUUAGGAAUCUGCCUAUUAGUGGGGGACAACAUCUCGAAAGGGAUGCUAAUACCGCAUACGUCCUACGGGAGAAAGCAGGGGAUCACUUGUGACCUUGCGCUAAUAGAUGAGCCUAAGUCGGAUUAGCUAGUUGGUGGGGUAAAGGCCUACCAAGGCGACGAUCUGUAGCGGGUCUGAGAGGAUGAUCCGCCACUCUGAGACUGAGACACGGCCCAGACUCCUACGGGAGGUAGCAGUGGGGAAUAUUGGACAAUGGGGGGAACCCUGAUCCAGCCAUGCCGCGUGUGUGAAGAAGGCCUUAUGGUUGUAAAGCACUUUAAGCGAGGAGGAGGCUCUUUUGGUUAAUACCCAAGAUGAGUGGACGUUACUCGCAGAAUAAGCACCGGCUAACUCUGUGCCAGCAGCCGCGGUAA
This 503-nucleotide ribosomal RNA is filed under the name uncultured bacterium. Its description in RNAcentral is "partial 16S ribosomal RNA". It matches the Rfam family "Bacterial small subunit ribosomal RNA", at positions 30 to 523 of the family's 1533-position model. The record is from RNAcentral.